Molecule: long non-coding RNA, 293 nt
Organism: Rhea pennata
Lineage: Eukaryota; Metazoa; Chordata; Aves; Rheiformes; Rheidae
Exons: 3
Source: RefSeq, a predicted model, not a curated record
GUUCCCGGGGCCGAGCCGGCGGCGGCCUUCGGGCUUCUGCCCCAUGGAAAGUCAGAUCCUCUGGGCACUGUGAGGAAAGAAGAAAGAAGAAACUCUGUUUUCAUUCUCUGAAUCCUCUGUGAGGAAAGCCCAUCUCAGCGUUGCUUAUGUGCCCUGAAGACACAGCAUGUGCCUCCUCAAUUUUAAGACUACUCAUCAACAGACUCAGAAACAAACUAUUGAGGAAAGUCAACAGGAGUUGGUGCUUGUCUGUGCAGCCUCAUUCGAGUCGAGUUAAAUCAAAUCAACUAAAG